GAGAGAGACAAAGCUACGGCACGCUAUGGUGUGAACCGUGAUGAAGCUACGGCACGGGAUCUUGCCGAUGCUCAAGAGGAAUUCGAACGUGAAGACUCGCCCCAAAGAUGGGAGGAGAAUGCUGCCAAUGGGUGCUUUGAUGUUGUUUUCAUCUUCGAAGAGAAGGUUUUCGAUAUGACCAUUGAAGAAGCAUACUAGUGUUGUGACUGCUGGAUUGAACUUGGGAAGAUCUAAAUAGUCGGGAGCAUACAUUGAUGAAAAGUGUACUUAUAAUCAAUUUGGAUGCAAAAAGUAACCAUGAAGAAGCUUUUGUUGGGGCCAAGUGCUUUGGAUUUAUGCCAGAAGCUUGAAGCAAUAGAUUGCUGGGAAGAUGCAAUAGAUGACAUUGUUGCCACUUUUGAGAAGCAGCACAAGCAAAAGCUCUUGUCUAGCAUUUCCUUCUACUAGAAGUACAUAGAUGCAGAUUAUCUGGGCAUAUUUCAGCUUUUUAACUCAAAUCUUGUGCCAUGCCCUUAUUAUUGAGCA
This is a long non-coding RNA of Elaeis guineensis (African oil palm), 525 nucleotides long. RefSeq lists it as uncharacterized. The record is from RefSeq and is a predicted model, not a curated record. Lineage: Eukaryota; Viridiplantae; Streptophyta; Magnoliopsida; Arecales; Arecaceae.